Molecule: long non-coding RNA, 1851 nt
Organism: Gavialis gangeticus (Gharial)
Lineage: Eukaryota; Metazoa; Chordata; Crocodylia; Gavialidae
Exons: 3
Source: RefSeq, a predicted model, not a curated record
AGGUCCCUUCCAAAAGGACCCCAGUUAAUUUCCCAGCUGGGUCUUUACCUUGAAAACAGGUCUGUUCCUCUUUAUUUUAUUGUUUGCAAGGAAAAGCUAGAAUUAAUAUUUUGAACAGCACUGGAGUAAUGACUUGGCAAAGCAUAUCUUUAUCUGGUAAAAAAAAAAGUAUUUUAUACGAGUAUGAAAACCCUUAGAUAUUCAUAGAACUGUACGUACAAAGUUGAUUUAUUUCUUAAGACUUCACUGUUUCCAUGGCAAAAGUUGUUUAAUGAGAACUGAUGAUAAAAGUAAACUGGGGAGGUGGAGGUUUGACUUCGAUGCUGAAUGACCUCUUCUUUUCCUAGUACUGUGUUACAAAGGCACUUACUCAGAAGGUUUGCUAUUGGUUAAAACAGGUGCAUAUGCAGUAUCAGAGACCAUGUUUAGGUCCCAUUAAGAAAGGGAGAAAGCAUAAAGAAAUGCAGCCAGUGCAUUUCUGGGAAAACCAAUUCCUGUCUCAAACAUCUUGUGCAUGAUCUGGCCUCAGUCAAGACUGAUAAUGGAAGUGAUACCAUUGGGAGGUAAUGAAUAGGGUGCAGAACAACACCUGUUCCCUCAUACGAAGAGUUUGGAAGGGAUCCACAACUUAGGAAAGGACAGGAAAAUGAAAACUGAUGCAAAAAAAUGGGGAGUGCAGAGGAAUGCAAAUUUACAAGGGGAAAAAAGCAUCAGUGAGAUGAAGUGACACUGAGAAUAACACCACCAUUUAAGAAGCCUCAGGGAACUGUAGGGGUUUUUUUAACCAUUAUAACCAACCACUUGUUACACCUUCAGAAAUUUUGAAAACCUUCCUCUUAAAAUGAAAGAUAUCACUGAAAUGCAUUACAGUACUGAUCUGUGCAGCUAGCUGGAUGGGCACAGUGAUCCUCCACAUAAUGCAAGCAUUUCUUACUAAUUUAUCUUCCACAGGUUCCUCAGCUCUACAAUCUCCUGAUUCCUAGAGUCUCCUCCUGCCUGCUGAGCUCUCUGAAGGCUGGUCCUUCAUCAACUCAUCAUCUUCAGAAGGCUGAAACCUCUAGAUUUCUUGAUUUAAAAAAAAAGAUUACACAGAAUUCAUUUCUUUAGCAAUGUUUCAGGUGUCUUCACUUGCACUGCCUCAUAACCACGUACCCAAAUCCCAUACACCUAGUCCAAUGCCCUCCCAGACACUGAAGGAGGAUAACUUCCUUCCUUCUCUAAUACACGGUCCAUUGGGAUGGCUGCUUGUUCUUCACGUUCAAAAAAACAGUUCAUGGGCUCAUAGGUAGGUCAUCACUGUUGUCUGCAUGCUGCUGGGUGUGGGUGAGAAAGGAUCAGCUUUCCAUGGGAACGCAAAGCAGUUCAUGCCAUGUUUGCAAAGUAGCCAGUUGAGAUGUCCAUACAUGUGGGAGCCUUUUGGUGACACCUGUGGAGGAUGGCUGAGUGGUCCACGUGUUUUCUGAGAGCUUACUCUUACUUCUGAAGUUGCUCUGAGAAGCCAGCGAGGGUCAGGGGGAGGGAAAGGUUCCUGCUGAAGUGAAUGCUAGUGAUCUAGGUUCCUGCAGUGGCUUCCAUUUUGGCAGCCCCUCAGCUUCCUCUGUGGGAUGGUUUGGUGUCACUGAUACCUCAGGGAUUUCUUUUGGUGUGUUUUUUUUAAAUGGCUAAGAAGUAUUGUGUUUUGUGGUCACCCAUUUCAGAAUAUUAAGGCCUCCUGAACCCCUCUUCCCCAAAGACAGGUUGGUUACAGUACAGCUGAAAGGGCCUCCCGGAUGCUUCUGCAAGAGAUGGGGGCAAAGUGGACCCCCUAGAUGGAAGGGCGAGGGGGAGGCCUAGAAGGGGGAGGGGCUCGGU